This 85-nucleotide transfer RNA is filed under the name Vibrio cholerae. Its description in RNAcentral is "tRNA-Leu(tag)". It matches the Rfam family "tRNA". Rfam says of the family: Transfer RNA (tRNA) molecules are approximately 80 nucleotides in length. Their secondary structure includes four short double-helical elements and three loops (D, anti-codon, and T loops). Lineage: Bacteria; Pseudomonadati; Pseudomonadota; Gammaproteobacteria; Vibrionales; Vibrionaceae. The record is from RNAcentral.
GCGGUGGUGGCGGAAUUGGUAGACGCACCAGAUUUAGGUUCUGGCGCCGCGAGGCGUAAGAGUUCAAGUCUCUUCUUCCGCACCA